CCAUGGACGACAGUCUGAUGGAGCAAUACCAUGUGAACGAUGAAGGUCUUCUGAGGGGGCUUCUUUUAUUUAGGAAAAAAAGCUUGAUAGGAAAAGAUUAAGCCUUGAUUGUACUAAAUGAAUAAGUGACAGCUAACUAUGUGCCAGCAGCUGCGGUAAAACAUAGGUCACGAGCAUUAUCCGGAUUUAUUGGGCGUAAAGGAAGCGUAGGCGGACAAAUUGAUCUAUUGUUAAAGGCACUUGCUCAACGAGUUGUUUGUGAUAGAUAUCGUUUGUCUAGAAUUAGUUAGGAGAUACUGGAAUUCAAUGUGUAGCGGUGGAAUGCGUAGAUAUAUUGAGGAACACCAGAGGCUAAGGCGAGUAUCUAGGACAUAAUUGACGCUGAGGCUUGAAAGCGUGGGGAGCAAAUGUUUAUUAGAUACCCCAGUAGUCCACGCCGUAAACGAUGGGUAUUAGGUAUUUGGUCUAGGACUGAGUGCUGUAGCUAACGCGUUAAAUACCCCGCCUGGGUAGUAUAUAUGCAAAUAUGAAACUCAAAGAAAUUGACGGGGACCUGAACAAGUGGUGGAGCAAGU
Molecule: ribosomal RNA, 575 nt
Filed under: Candidatus Mycoplasma haematominutum
Lineage: Bacteria; Bacillati; Mycoplasmatota; Mollicutes; Mycoplasmatales; Mycoplasmataceae
Description: bacterial SSU rRNA
Rfam family: Bacterial small subunit ribosomal RNA
Source: RNAcentral